Molecule: long non-coding RNA, 761 nt
Organism: Oncorhynchus keta (chum salmon)
Lineage: Eukaryota; Metazoa; Chordata; Actinopteri; Salmoniformes; Salmonidae
Exons: 2
Source: RefSeq, a predicted model, not a curated record
GUAACUAGGGGGAUGUUCUAGUUUUCCUAUUUCUAUGUUUUGUUUUGUUGUAUAGUUCCCAAUUAGAGGCAGCUAAUUGUUGUCUCUAAUUGGGGAUCAUACUUAAGUUCUCCAUUGUUCCCACCUGGGUUGUGGGAUAUUGUUUGUAUGUGCUUGUUGCACCAGCACCGGCUGCUUCUUGAUCAAUGAGACCCGACUGCAGUGUGGAAAUGGCAGAGCGCUCCCAGUGAGGACCACUACUGCUUAGGACUGAUGCUUAUUGGGCUGUGGCAGAGGCAUCGCCCAAGUGUGUGCUGGACGUUGGACGUGGAGGAGAAUGAAGUCCAGGCUACAUCGAGGCUGAGCUGAGGACGACAUCAGGGUCAGCAAGCCAACUCCGUCAGCAUCAUCUGGCAUCCCAGGCUACAGAGAGGCCAAAGAUAAUAUCAGAACCGACAAGCCAUCUGCAUCAUCAUCAUCAUCUGGCGUCCCCUGACGUCGCCAUAAUUAAACCAUCAUUUAACUUGGUUUCGGAGCCUUAGAUCGCUGAUCUACUGAGGGAAUCCUGACAUUGUUUUAUUAUGUGAUAUAUGUGUAACCAAAGUAUGGCUAGUAGGCUAGGUCUACUGUGUAGCCUAGACCUACUAUGUUUAAGUGUGCAAUGUUUAUUUCAUACAUUUUCAAACUUUUUUUUGUGUCAUCCUUGAUGAUUUUAAAUGCAUUAUCCACAUGUGUGGUUGUAUUGUGUUUUAAAAUGGUCAAAUAAAUGUCUAUCAACUACA